Molecule: long non-coding RNA, 705 nt
Organism: Nicotiana tabacum (common tobacco)
Lineage: Eukaryota; Viridiplantae; Streptophyta; Magnoliopsida; Solanales; Solanaceae
Source: RefSeq, a predicted model, not a curated record
AAAACAUGGCCUUGUCCAAAGAAUGGCACAACUAAAAUCUCCCCCAUAAUUUCCUCCAUGUUUAUGGCUUUCUUUGUUCUUGUAUUUAUGCAGUGCUCAAGCCAGCUUGAAAUCAGUGGUGGAGCCGCGUGAGGAUUUAAUUGAAUAUCCUUCGCCAAAUAGUUAUAAUGCAUAAGAUGCAAAUAUUCCUUCAAGUUCAAUUUCAACAUCUGGGACUAGUGCUUUGGAUGAUAAUGAUGGUGUUGAAGAUUAUUUGAUUUGGUCUACAAUAAGGGAGCAUAAACAAACCAGUAGCAGGAAUAUUGAUGAACUUCAAUUCUACUUCCAAAAGUCAGCAGAGCCUUGCACAAAGAAAUUUCUACCACUGGGUUGGUGGAGGAGCAACUCAAAUCAAUUUCAUGUUCUUUCGGUCAUGGCUCGAGACGUGCUAAAUGUGACUAUUUCAAUAGUCGCAUCAGAGAGCGCAUUUAGCCAAGCAAGGCAGCAACUAGGAGAUACCCGUUAUUCAUUCGGUAGCAACGCUUUGAAAAUUCUAGUGUGCUUCAGAGAUUGGAUAAGAUCAGAACGACGAAAUCAAGGGCGUGACGAGCUAGAUGAAGCGGAGGACCAAGAAAUUGGAGAUAUAAUGGUUUAUGAUUCUGAUUCAACCAAUGUCGGAAAUCAAGAACCUCAUGUUGACAUGGAUGAACUUACAAAAAUGAUGCA